CCUACGGGAGGCAGCAGUGGGGAAUAUUGGACAAUGGGCGAAAGCCUGAUCCAGCAAUGCCGCGUGAGUGAUGAAGGCCUUAGGGUUGUAAAGCUCUUUUACCCGGGAUGAUAAUGACAGUACCGGGAGAAUAAGCUCCGGCUAACUCCGUGCCAGCAGCCGCGGUAAUACGGAGGGAGCUAGCGUUGUUCGGAAUUACUGGGCGUAAAGCGUACGUAGGCGGUUAUUCAAGUCAGAGGUGAAAGCCUGGAGCUCAACUCCAGAACUGCCUUUGAAACUAGGUAGCUAGAAUCUUGGAGAGGUUAGUGGAAUUCCGAGUGUAGAGGUGAAAUUCGUAGAUAUUCGGAAGAACACCAGUGGCGAAGGCGACUAACUGGACAAGUAUUGACGCUGAGGUACGAAAGCGUGGGGAGCAAACAGGAUUAGAUACCCUGGUAGUCCACGCCGUAAACGAUGAUAACUAGCUGUUCGGGCUCUACGAGCUUGAGUGGCGCAGCUAACGCAUUAAGUUAUCCGCCUGGGGAGUACGGUCGCAAGAUUAAAACUCAAAAGGAUUAGCGGCGNGNGAGNGCGACGACGACGACGACGGAGGAG
Molecule: ribosomal RNA, 594 nt
Filed under: uncultured bacterium
Lineage: Bacteria
Description: bacterial SSU rRNA
Rfam family: Bacterial small subunit ribosomal RNA
Source: RNAcentral